UGGACUUGACAUGGUGCUGCAAGCGCACGGAAACGUGUGACCUUCGAGGGUGCACCACAGAUGCUGCAUGGCUGUCGUCAGCUCGUGUCGUGAGAUGUUGGGUUAAGUCCCGCAACGAGCGCAACCCCCGUGGCGUGUUGCCAGCAUUAAGUUGGGGACUCACGCCAGACUGCCGGUGACAAACCGGAGGAAGGUGGGGAUGACGUCAGUGCUUGCCU
RNAcentral lists this unclassified non-coding RNA (218 nucleotides) under uncultured Rubrobacterales bacterium. RNAcentral describes it as "contains 16S-23S intergenic spacer region". It matches the Rfam family "Bacterial small subunit ribosomal RNA", at positions 976 to 1200 of the family's 1533-position model. Lineage: Bacteria; Bacillati; Actinomycetota; Rubrobacteria; Rubrobacterales. The record is from RNAcentral.